GAGUAUGUGUUGCAAAAUAAAUGGUGCAUCUUACCUUGAAGGCUGGCAAAGAUAAUUCGACUGGCAGUUCUCCAUGCCUAUCAAAUUAAAUUUGAUAUUCUAAUGAUGAUGGCUUCGAAGAAGUCACAACAUC
This is a small nucleolar RNA of Neltuma alba, 133 nucleotides long. Lineage: Eukaryota; Viridiplantae; Streptophyta; Magnoliopsida; Fabales; Fabaceae. The record is from RefSeq and is a predicted model, not a curated record.